Molecule: long non-coding RNA, 443 nt
Organism: Rhodamnia argentea
Lineage: Eukaryota; Viridiplantae; Streptophyta; Magnoliopsida; Myrtales; Myrtaceae
Exons: 2
Source: RefSeq, a predicted model, not a curated record
ACCUUCAAUAACAUGAGAAAGUAAUAUCGUUUUCAUUUGUAUGAGUGACAUGAAUUCAAUGUUUAGUAACUCUGGUUAUAUUUUGCUAUAAGCUUUACUUUCAAGUCUUUUAAUGCAUCAUGUGCUGCAGAAAUUCUAUAACGCCAUCGAUCAAGAAACAACAAAAAUUUCAAUACCAUGACCUCCUCUAGAUUCUCACCAACCUGGGUUUUUAGGUAAAGAAUUCAAAACCACCUAUAUUCAAUUGUUCGUGAAUCUUACUUAUUAUUACAACUCCCUAGUGAUCCCCAAUAACUCAUAAAUACUUUCCUAUAACAGUACGUCGUCUACUUAUGGGUAUAUUGGGUUGUUGGGCAUGCAGAGACGUACUAAAUACAUAACUAAUGAGAAUAUGCAAACAUCAUUGGGGCAUUAAAGCAUUUUAAUGUUUAUGAAAAUGUGAU